UGACUCAGCAACCCCUGAAAGAAUCAAAUCUUUACCUUGCUUGAGAACCCGAGAUGCCUGCUUCACAUUCUACCAUUCACAAAACAGACAAUUACACUUAGUUCCCCUUCCACUCCAUAAACAUAAUAUCAUAACAAACUCAGGCUUUCUUACUCUUUCAAUAGAAUCCAGAGCUCUGGCCCCAGCAAGCUUCAGACUGUCGGUAAUAUCUUCAAGAGGCUUCUGAACCUCCCUGAUAGCUUUAUUGUCAAUGGGUAGGGCAUACCUCAACAAAGCCCCUGGAUCCUUAAUCGGCGGACCGGAGAUCAACAC
Molecule: long non-coding RNA, 312 nt
Organism: Telopea speciosissima
Lineage: Eukaryota; Viridiplantae; Streptophyta; Magnoliopsida; Proteales; Proteaceae
Exons: 2
Source: RefSeq, a predicted model, not a curated record